RNAcentral lists this transfer RNA (37 nucleotides) under Diporiphora nobbi coggeri. Its description in RNAcentral is "partial tRNA-Leu". The record is from RNAcentral. Lineage: Eukaryota; Metazoa; Chordata; Lepidosauria; Squamata; Agamidae.
CUUUUAAGGGAAAUCAGUAAUCCGGUGGCCUUAGAAG